UUGUAAGGAAUAUCUGAAGAUAUUCCAAGUGGAAUUUAAAGUCCUGGGUUACAGAACUCCAAAAGCUCCUUAAAAAAAAAAAGGUUGGUAUCCCUUUAAGAACCAUUUGGUACAAUUCAUAGCUUGAUUCAUGUCACCAGCUGCCUCUGAUUUCAGUGAGAAAUGCAGAAAUUUACAGGGAACUGUAAAAUGGGGACAGGUUUUUAGUUUUCUAAAUUGAGGUUUAACUGGCAAACUUCUGAAGGUUUAAGAAACCACGAAGCUGGGCUGUGGAAAGCUGGUUUCUUUUCCGGUCCGAACAAAUAAAUACACAAACACAUACCUAACUCUCAAAGUGUCCGGAGAGAGAAACCAGUGCGCGUUGCAGAAGGGAAAAAGAAAAACUAGCCUUGUGGGCACCAGGAAGACAGCCACCCUGGCCGGCAGGCAGCACCCUGUCCUGACAGAGGGGGAGAUCUGAGCUCCAGCAGCACCCAGGGCAGGAUUGGCACAAACUCUCCCGCUUCAAGUUGCACAGCUCGGGAGUCCCAGGCAUCCAGCGCCGCCACAGCUCUCUUUGCAGAGCCCAAAGGUUUGACGAGAAACACCCAACCUCCCACGGGACGCGCAGAUGAAGAUACAAAGGUCCAGAGAAAUCAAGUGUGAUAGUUCCCCUAGGUGUUCCUGGGCCACCUGGAUCCAGCAGCCCCAUCUCCAGAGCAGGAGAAAGGAGGUCACAUAAAGCAGAUAUUAGCUGAGCUCCGGCUGUGUGGUGGGCAGACCCUGGAAGAAGUCAGAGUCUAAUUCCCUUCCAUUGUUUCAGGAGCACUAGGUUCCCAUUCUCCCUCCACAGCCUUUUGUUCUUCUACAUCCUGCUCAUCUCUGCCACUGUCACCUCCUUCAUUGCUGUCACGAGAACUCAGGCACGUGCCACCACUGCUCACCGUAUCUUCUGGAUUCUUCCUGACCACCUGGGUGACUCUGAGCUCUCAGAAGCUUCCCUUUUUCAUUUUCAUCUUUGAACAAGAUACUGCUUUCAAUUUUCCACCAACUGAAAGAGAAAAGACAUGAAUACUGGACUGAAAGCUUUACGAGGAUGCAAGUUGACACAUAGUAUAAAAGCUUUAUCUAGAAUCUUGGCACUAAAAUUUCAGUAUAUUAUGGGAAAAUCCUAACAAUAACCAGAGAAAAUAAAGGCAUAUUCCUGCUAAAAGGAUGAAAAUGAAGUUACAUCAGAAAUAAGGGGGAAAUGGAGGUUAGCUUAAAGUAUAAAAGGAAAAAACUUAAAAUUCAUAAUUGUUCACAGAUAUGCAAGUAAGAGCGAUUCUAGAUAUACUUAGCCUCUAAAAGCUUCCAAUUUGCAAGCUUUUUCACAACGAUUUACUAGAGGGAGGCUACCAAGGGAAAGAAAGGUGGUUAGACACAGUUGGUGUCUGGAAUAUUGUGGAAAAAUUGAUGCACUCAUACAAUGCAUUGGAAAUUCAAAGUGACACAGACAACAAAGGAUAAUCUGAGGGUUUAGGUAAAAUAAAAAUGUGUUUAUACAGGCAAUCACCAGUUUACAUCUGUCUCUGAAACACUUUCACAUGGACAAGAAUUUUCAUUGCAGUACUUUUUGUCAGGGAUAAACCUGGGCCUGGUUGGAGAGAGGCUAACUAUAAUAUAAUUCAUUCAUGUCGUGAACUAUUUAUCACACACUAGGAAGGAGAAUGAGAAAGAGAAUGUGUCCCCAUAGAUGUAGCUGCAGUAUUUAUUAAUGAGUGCAAAGAUUAGGUGGAAUUUAUAUAACUAGGGUAUGGCUUAUUUCACUAAAAAACCAAUAGAUUCACUAAACAACAUCUAUUUUGUAUUUUCCACGAAUAUACUGCACAUAUUUGUUAUAUUAUAGAAAAAAAUAUGGAAGGAGAUAUAUCAAACAUAAAUAAUUAUUGGUAUGGAGGAAGUGACCCAAAGAGAUUUUAUUCUUUUAUGUUCGGGUAUCUCCAUGUUUAAUUAUUUGACUCAACAGACAUUUAUGGGUGUUUUUCUAAUUUGUGGUACUGCCUUUAGUGCUAGGCCUUUUAGGUCAGGGCCAGAGGUUUGGUUGCAUUUUUAGUACAACUGGAAAUCACUGAUGCAUUGUAAGCAGGUUGAGGUGCGGUGCAAUACACAGUUAUAAAAUGUUCCUCUGGGUACUGUGAAGAGAAUGGAUUUGAGGAGCCAGAGGAAAGGAAAGCAGUUACAAUAUACCUGUUAGGACCCAGACCCUUGGUGGGCAUAGAGCCUGGAGUCCAUGGAAAUGUUUUGAUUUUAACUUCUUUUAAAAUCAGAAUAAAAAAAUAAUUGAGCAUGAACUAUAAUUGACUUUAUACCAAUAUGGCAUGAAAAUGUGAUUUUUAGUAUGUUUUUUAAUAGGUGAGAGUCCUGAGUGUUAUAGACCAUCCCUGACUUUGCAGAAUCCUUUGGUUGGGCCAAAGAGUGACCAUAGACAUGGUCACAGAGGCACAGGGCAAAAAGCAAAGACAAAAUAGGUUUUGGAAGUAGAAAACCUGAACCUGGUUAAAAAUUUAGAGCACAGAGUGAGGCAAGGUGGGGAAGCAAAGACAAAGUGCAGGAUUUGGACUCAGAAAGGCCUUGUUUCCAUUUGCCUGAGAUGGGGAAGAGAGUCCGGAAGCCGUGGAUAUCAGAGCACAUGGACCUCACAGCGCAUGGACCUGAAAUGCCAGGCCCCACAUGGCUGGUAAACUGGGCUUCCCAGGCUGGUGAUUCUCUUUUUGGGCCGAGUUUAAUGGGGAAGUUCAACAAGGUGAAUUUCUAGCCCCUGACAAACUGGUCCCAAAUCUCCCAAGUGGACCAAGAGGGCUGCUGAUUUUUUAGGCAACAGGGAGAAAAAAAUAAACACACAGAAAGGUUUCCUAAACAGAGAAUGACAUAACUAGAUAGGUUUUUUUUUGGUUUUUGUUUUUAAAAGCCCUCUUUGGUAAAUGAAUGGGAGACAAGAACGAGGUGUGAGAUGCAGGAGGAUAAAUUAGGGUGUCAGCUACACUUACUGUUCCCAGGCUGCUGACUCUUGGGCUGCUGCCAGCCUCAAGGAAAACGUCCUGAAGCUAAAGUCAUUUGGAAACGAGCUGGAAGGACCUCCAGACGAGUCCCGGGCAGAGCAUAUUUUGGCUGAGACUCUGGGCAUCUGGUGUACAUGGGCCUGGUGGCCCUUAACAGUUUUUUGGCUAAACCACAGGGCAAAUUUAAACACUUUCAGUUGUCACAACAUAGCAAAUCUGAAUGACAAUGAUUUUUUUUAAAGAAGGAUUUUAAAAAUAAGAAUACAUCACAGAAGUCAUUCCAACACAGCUGGCUGUUUCUCAU
Long non-coding RNA from Cavia porcellus (domestic guinea pig), 3324 nucleotides. RefSeq lists it as uncharacterized. The record is from RefSeq and is a predicted model, not a curated record. The transcript has 3 exons. Lineage: Eukaryota; Metazoa; Chordata; Mammalia; Rodentia; Caviidae.